This 23-nucleotide small nuclear RNA is filed under the name Arabidopsis thaliana (thale cress). Its description in RNAcentral is "snRNA_02967". Lineage: Eukaryota; Viridiplantae; Streptophyta; Magnoliopsida; Brassicales; Brassicaceae. The record is from RNAcentral.
AUGAUUUAAAUUUUUAUAAGAAA